UUUCCAUCUCCUAAAACCCUCCUUAAACCCAUAAAUUCUUCUAAAUUCACUUCUUUUCCUUUCUUUAAUCUCUCUACUUCAUCCAAUUUCAAGCAUUCUCCUCUUACUCUUCACUGUUUCAGUUCAGAUGAAUACCCAGUAGGUGAUGACGACGCGUUUCUCGAAGCUUUUGGACCCAAAGAGAAAGAAUCCGAAGAAGAAGCCCGGCGCAGGAACUGGGUCGACCGUGGUUGGGCUCCAUGGGAAGAA
RNAcentral lists this unclassified non-coding RNA (249 nucleotides) under Hevea brasiliensis (rubber tree). Lineage: Eukaryota; Viridiplantae; Streptophyta; Magnoliopsida; Malpighiales; Euphorbiaceae. The record is from RNAcentral.